AUGUGUAUGUUUGGGGAGAGGGGAAGACUCUUACAGAGUUGUGGUCAGUCUGAUUGUCCAAGCUCAUGUCAGUAUACGUCAGAGCCCCCUGAGCUUCCAUCUAGCCCUGCCCAGCUCACCGUGUGACCCUGGUCAGGUCAGGUCACCUCCCUGCACCUGUGCCCUGAGUGCUAAAGCAGGAACAAAGACGAUAAUGACCAAUCUCAGAGACUUCAGACAACAGGAUUUCCAUAAAUCCACAUGUGGCCCAUCGUGGAGAGGAAUUAAAUGGCUUCUACUUUGGUCAUUGUUGUAAAUGACAGUCACUAUAAUUGUUAAUGUAUUUGUUUAUUAUCAUUCAUUUGUGUUAUAAUAUGAUGUUCUGAGUACAGAGUUCCCAGUUUUCUUUUCCCAGGGAAGGGCACCAACAAGUUUCCGGCCCUGCCUACAGGUGGUAGCCAAAGUGGACAAGGUAGACUGGCAGGAACUAGCCAAAGGCAGCUCUUCCCUUGUCCCAGGGACUUGGUGUGAAUAGGACAACCUGAAUGCAUCCUGUAUCUCCUAUUAGGUACAGGAGAUGAGUCCAGGGUCCACUUGGGGACCAAGGAUGUGCUGAGGAGGAGGCACCCCUUCUCUUCCGAGAGCAGGAUGGGAACCUCAUUAGGAGUGGCACUUCAGGGGCUGGCCCUGUGUCUGACCUUUGCUCCCCAUGGGGGUCCAGAGUGGCCCAUCAGUGGCCAGUGGCCUUGCUGGAAAUGCAGGUGGUGAUUUGGUGGGAGCUUCGACACCUUGAAGAGCUAAUUGUUCCUUGGCCAGGUACAGGAGGAGGCCUGCCAAAUGGCUCACAGAGACCCAGAGAGAUUGUCCUUUCUCCAAAUAUUUUGCCGGAGCAAGAAGGAACCCUGAACAGCACUGGCAGUGCUUUCCAAUGUUACCAAGCCGAGGAGGGAGAAUAGCAACAAUUGUCACCCAGCAGAGACAAUGGCUCUUUUAUGUGGAAUAUUUAUUUUCGGGGUGACCAGUAUUCUGUCAGCUGGGAUGGCUGUUGAGCUGCACUGUCUG
This 1041-nucleotide long non-coding RNA is filed under the name Marmota monax (woodchuck). The record is from RNAcentral. Lineage: Eukaryota; Metazoa; Chordata; Mammalia; Rodentia; Sciuridae.